Molecule: long non-coding RNA, 1173 nt
Organism: Pyrus x bretschneideri (Chinese white pear)
Lineage: Eukaryota; Viridiplantae; Streptophyta; Magnoliopsida; Rosales; Rosaceae
Exons: 2
Source: RefSeq, a predicted model, not a curated record
UUGAGAGAAAGGGAGCUAAGGAAAAAUAACAAGGCCUUCAACUUGAAUGAAACAUUUGAACCUGAGUUGCAGUUAAGAGAAGAUGAAAACUCAAAUGCUGCCCAUGUCUCUGUAACUUGAUAAUUUGGUUGAAAAAGCAAAAGGGUAUGGCUGGUUCUUGCCAGAUUUCGAUAUGCGUGGUUUCUGUUUUUUUCGAUACGGGGAGUUCGAAAUUAUUGUUUUUGUGGUAAAAAUUGAUUUUUCGUUUUGAUAUGAGGUGUUUGUGUAACUUGAUAAUUUGGGUUGAAGAGUAAAAGGGUAUAACUGGUUCUUUCCUUUUUUUUUGUAUGUGUUUGUUUGCAUAUCGCUCUGUAAUGGUUGCUUCUUGAAAUUCCAGGCUUUGGUUUUGAUGCUCAGGUUUUUUAGUGUAUCACUUGUUGCAUUCUUCUUUCUAUGGCGUGCUUCGUCAGCCGGAUCACAAGCUGAGGUGAAGGGCUUGGUCACCGUAGACUCCGCCUCAGUAAACGACGAAAAGGUUGAUGUGAGUCAAGCUGGCACUGCAGAUUCCAUAGCGUGGGAGAAUCUUGGCUGGUUCUAUGUCUCGGUCAGAAUUGCAUUGUUCCUCUGGGUAUGAUGAAUAUAUCUCUGCAAUUAGAAGAGGUGAAGAUUCAUGGUCUCUGGAGAUGAGUGCAGGGGGUCUGGUCAGUAAUUCCAUCCGCUCCUGCCUACAAGUUACAACCACAAAACACCAUGACAAUCACACUCCAAAGAAGGAUCAAUUCCAGCUAGUUUAUCUUCAACAUAAUUUCAUUCACUAAAAGUGUGAAGUCACCAAGUUAAACAAAGUGUGCAGAGGAUCACAAACUAACUCACAUGUCUACUGCAAUUAAGAACCGAGCUUAGGAUAAAUGGAUAAUGUAUUAUUUAUCGUAUUGCAUGAACAACUUGUCAAAUGCUUUGUAUAUUUCAAAGCUCUACUGUAUUUUGCAGUACAACAGCAAUUAGGUACACAAUACAGUAGCAACUAUUUCUUAUUUAAAUCGAUAAAUCCAUCGAUAUUAUUCAAGGAUGCAUGCGCCGUCAUCGGCAUCGUCGUCGUCUUAUCAUUUGUCAAAUGGGAAUCAAAAACUUCAGAAAUUGCUGCAGAAUAUAUCUCAAUUCAUGACAUGAGACUUGUUCAAAUUGAAGUAAUAG